CUUCCUACGGGGGGCAGCAGUGAGGAAUAUUGGUCAAUGGGCGGGAGCCUGAACCAGCCAAGUCGCGUGAGGGAAGACGGUCCUAUGGAUUGUAAACCUCUUUUGUCGGGGAGCAAAGAGGCCACGUGUGAUCAAGAGCGAGAGUACCUGAAGAAAAAGCAUCGGCUAACUCCGUGCCAGCAGCCGCGGUAAUACGGAGGAUGCGAGCGUUAUCCGGAUUUAUUGGGUUUAAAGGGUGCGUAGGCGGGCUGGUAAGUCAGCGGUAAAAAUCCGGAGCUCAACUC
RNAcentral lists this ribosomal RNA (284 nucleotides) under uncultured bacterium. RNAcentral's name for it is "partial 16S ribosomal RNA". It matches the Rfam family "Bacterial small subunit ribosomal RNA", at positions 335 to 615 of the family's 1533-position model. The record is from RNAcentral.